This is a long non-coding RNA of Falco peregrinus (peregrine falcon), 4895 nucleotides long. RefSeq lists it as uncharacterized. NCBI's taxonomy places the organism in Eukaryota, Metazoa, Chordata, Aves, Falconiformes, Falconidae. The record is from RefSeq and is a predicted model, not a curated record. The transcript has 3 exons.
UAACAAAGCCAGGAUUUUGUAAGCACAUUAUCAUACCAUGUCACUCACACAAUUAUACACAAACACACGGUCAAGGAGAACACUUCUGUAAAGAACAGGGGAAGAGAAUCAGAAUUUUAAAAUCAGGGGUGAUUAAUAUUUUUAACAGGGGUUCUGCAAACUUCAGGCAUGCCACUGUUGGAUUCAGUGUUCAAUAUAACAGUGAGGGAUAAUCCAGAAGCCAAAAUUGCCUCAAAAGACCAGGAGGGGAAGAAGAGAAUAAUCAGGUAUAAGCUUUCACAGCAGCUCUUAAACCUACAGUGGAAUAAGACGGCAUGCUAGGAAGCCUUAACCAAGCUGUCAAUUCCUUUAUAAAAUUGUUGUGGUGAAGCUGCACUCACAUACUGUUCUGUCUUGCUGAGAACCAGAGAGAUGUCAACAAAAUAGAGGGAAAGAAAAAAAAAAAAAGAAAAAAGGUGAAUAGUUUAGAAUAUGAAAAAAGAUAAGAACAACUAUAUGCAUGCAGCCUAUGUAAGGGCUUCAGCUUUUGCUGCUGAACAGCAAUGAUUUGCUGGAGUAGCUGCUCUCCCUUGCAACUCACAUGUGAAAAAUGUGACACUGAGUGAAUAAAUGUGGCACAACAGGGACCCAGGAGCAAGAGAAGAAACCUCAGACCUCACACAGCACUCCUGGCAGGCAGAGAGAGAAGCAGGAGAUCUUCUGGAAGGAAAGGACUUGCCAUAGAUGGGCUAUCUUGUUGUAAGUAGGGGUAAUGAAAGGCAACUAAGCAGAGGAAAACUUAGUAUGAAUCUCUGGAAUGUUGCCUAAUAGUGGGAACGAAAGAGUUUCCCCACGGCAGUAGCAGGAACACCAUCAACUGAACCAUUUAAAAAGAAACCAGAUAUAAUAUGGACAAAGCAAUAGGCUUCUGUUGGCAAGAGGAUUGCUGGAAACCUCCGUGGACUUUUUCCAUCUCUACUGUGAUUUUGUGCUCUACUGUCUCCUUGCUUGUUUGCCCAGCUUACACUAUUCUAAUACAGAACGAAGAAAUUACGCAGUGAGAUUACUUAGUCAGAAUCUGAAAGUAUAGUAUAAACAACAGAUUAUUAUUCUUUUUACUGAAAAAUCGCUUUUGUUCUUUGGCUCUGCUAGCUGGUUACACCCUGAAGGAGAGGCAGGAACCUGUACCCUCACUGCCUGACCCCCCUGAUGCGAGUUACAGGGUCGCAUGGCAAGGCUUGUCAUCUGAAAGGUGCUUUCUGUAAAGCAAGAGCGCAAGGGGGAACAGGGCAUUCCAACCUUUGGCAGAUGGUUUGAGAAACAUCACCAGAACACUUGCUAACAAGAAUUAGGUCUUUUUCCAAAUUUUGAAUGUAAUUCUCCGUCCCCUCCUCCAACAGCACAGCAGCCCAGGCUGGACAUGAUGUGCUGCGUGACCCCCAUCCCUCAAUGCCUUGCUUUACAGCAAGCUAGUUUCACUGCCAGUAUUAAUCCAACUCUUCAAAUCUGUGUGGACAAUGAAAAUCAUUAAUUCAGGAUACUGUCUUUUCUGUACCUGAAGCAGUAUAAUCUCAGAGGAAAUUUCUAAAUUUGAAAUGGAAAGAGGAGAUUAUUAUACAUUUGGGGGUUAAACUAUUCCUUUUUCCCAACGUUUCCGAAAAGAUGGAACAGUAGGAAGACUAAAAGCUGCUCUGAGGAAAGUAAAAUUGGCUUAAUGAUGACAGCGUUAGCCUUGAAGUUGCAAAAGUGGGAUGUGAGCUCCUGGUCCAUCAUCGGCUCCUGUGUGAGUUCCUUGUGUCAGCUCCCAGCCAGCACAAGGAAAAAGCACUUCCCUGCCUUACAGAAAUGCAGCAGGAGGCAGACAUUAAUACUGUCUUGCCAGCUAAGUAGUACGAAAGCACAAAAAAGGGGGCAAUAAAAUGAAAUUAUAAACUUUAGGGAAUUAAAAUGGUAUUUUCUGCAUUUUUUUACCAAAAUAGAAACAGUUACAAGAAAUAUGGUAGUAUUGACAUUUUUUUCAUUAAAAUGACUUAAAAAAAAAAGAGAAAAAUCUUGACUUGAAAAUCACAUUUGGAAUAUGUGGAUUAUCUUCUCUCCAAGCACUGCCUACUGAGUACACCGGUAAUUCAGAGAUCACUGUUUAUCCACACUACGUUUUUUGAGCAGGACAUAGAACUGUGCAGACGGAAACCAUGGGCACUGGGGUGCCCACAUGUUCAAGUCCCAGUCCUCACUUUCCCAAGCCUUGGCUAACGUGGUCUGGUAAGGGGGUUUGCUAUAUAACUCAUUCUCCUUCGCACACUAGCGACAGAUCUGGCUAACUAUCCCAUAUGGCAGAUCCAAGCCUGGCACAGAAUCAAUCCUAAAAUUCUCCUUGACAGCUCCCUCUCUCGCUGUGCCCAGCAGAAGCUGGAUACAGCAGUGCAUCUUGCCCCCAAAAUUCAAAUUGCUAGCUGCUUUCUUUUUCUGGGAGCUAUUUUAUGAAGCUGAUUGCAGUUACAGGCAUACGAAACACCCUCCACGCUGGUUUCAAAUGCUCAGUUUUGGAAAAUUACAGACCCAGCAUUUCUGUCACCCACAGCAGGAACUGCAAAGCAAUUUAUUUUCAUCAACUUCAUCUUAUUAAAAACACUCAACAAAAAUGCACUGACACGUUGUAUGAAAAAUAAAACAAAUUGAAAGACAGGGAGCAUUUACAAGGUUAUUCAUUUCUGCUUGCCACCUAGAAGCACCAGAUAUAAUAAUGGAAAUGAACAGGGGAGAACAUUUGAAAAAGAUUUGUGCCUAUGACAAGUCAAGGGACGCAGAGAAGCACAGCGACGAUGUAUUCUGAUCUGACAAAGCCCCCAACGUGACAGGAGUGAGAAGGACGACAAACACAUUUCCCAGUGGUCAAGUGCAAGAAAUAAAUGCUGCAGGGAUCAUUCCACAAGUACUAUGUGGUUAUGUUGCAGCUAGGAUUUCUGAGUUUGGAUCUGGAGCUGGCCACCUGCCAACCCUAUUACCUCCAGUGCGAUGCAUUUUAUUUUUUUUAGGACAGCCCCCAAGUAGAAGAUUUUUGAUUAAACAAGGGCAUAAUUCAGCACCUGCCUCCAUCCCUAUGCAAGCCAAUGUUUUGCUGGCGCAUUACAUGGCACAAUAGUAGUACACAUGUUAUUUCCAAACAGGCCAACAAGGGGGGUUUAAACAUUUCCAGGUGUUGCACCGGUUCUAACCAUCACUGUGCAGCUUACACAACCCCCACUAAAUGCUAUGUAUCUGUCCAUCUGUGUACGUGUGAGUGUGUUUGAGUGACCCCAUAAAAGAAGAGAUUACGUGCUCUGAAAAGCCGAACAGAAAAAGCAAAGGAAAGAAAGAGCAUUAUUCCAGAGGCUGGAAAGUAAGGCACACAGGCACUACGCCUUCCCUGAGAAUCUGUGGCACAGAAGAGAAUCCAGAUCUCCUGAGUUCACGUCAGCAUCUAAAAUCCUUUACUUUAGCAAAGUGCUAUAGGAUUGGAAGUAUGUCAAUGCCAACUCUUGGAGGAUCCAGGAGAAGAUACAUUCUUCAAGAGGUUGCAAAACUUUUCACGGGCCACUGACUGCUUUCAAACAGACACCAAGGCAAAUGAUUCGGUGUUCUCACAAGACGCCCUCCUGCACUUGGAAGAGCAUAAUUAUUAAUGACAGAGCUACAUCAUCAUUUUUCGUCGGCUCCUUCCUGAAGACUGCUGUGAUGCCUGACAACAGCUUGGACUCCCCCAUCACAGGGUCUCCCGCAGCUGCUUUGUGUUUGGAGGGCAGGCUGACCCGGGCAUUGGCUCUGUUUUGUCCCAUUCUCGUCCAGUGCCAGCACAGCAAGGUAUGACCAGAUUGCCUUUGCACUACAAUACUGCGAAGACAUCACUUAAAACAGCAACAAAGAGACUUUUGGUGAUGAUUCCUCCUUCCCAUCUGGUGGACUAUGCUACAGCUUCUUAAAGGCUGCCUUCGCUGAAGCCCUAGGGAGCUUCGAGGAAUAACUCACAGAGCUCUCACCAAGGCAAGGCAGCUACAUGCUACCUCCAAAGCAGGACUGUUAACAAAAGAAAUAGGCUGGCUCUGAGCAAUGCCUACAAAAUGCUGUUAAAGAAAGACUAACUGGCACAAAGGCCAUCAGGGCUAUGCAUCAUGGGAUAUUUAUGGUAAAAUAACAACAACAACAAAAAAUCACCCAAACAAAACACACCAGUUGUGAUCUGUAAAGAAUGAAAAGCCAUUAGCAAGAAUGGUGUGAAAUACUAGAAUUCUUGCCUGUCCUGGGUUUGGCUGGGAUAGAAUUAAUUUCCUUCCUUGUAGCUGGUACAGUGCUAGGUUUUGUGUUUACUAUGAGAGUAACGCUGAUAACCCGCUGAUGGUUUAGUUGCUGCUGAGCAGCGCUUACUCUAAGUGAAGGACUCCCCCGUUCCCCGCGCUGUGCCAUGAGGAGGUGCACAAGGAGCCGGGAGGGAGCAGAGCCAGGACACUGACCCGAACUGGCCAAGGGGCUAUUCCGUACCACAGAGCAUCACGCUCGGUACAUACACUGGGGGUGGGGCUGGCUGGGGGCUGCCGGUCACUGCUGGGGGGCUGGCUGGGUGUCAGUCCGCGGGGGUGAGCAACUGUGUUGUGCACCGCUUGUCUUUCUUGGGGUUUAUUUCUCUCUCUUUUUCUUUUUGUUACUAUUAUCAUUAUUGUUAUGACUAUUAUAAUAUUUUGCCCUAUUUCAAUUACUAAACUGUUCUUAUCUCAACCCAUGGGGUCUACCUUUUCCUGACUCUCCUCCCCAUCCCACCAGGAGAGGCAGUGAGCGAGGUUGUGUGGUACUUACUUGCUGGCCGGGGUUUAACCACGACACAGCCAGAUGGGAUUGCCACAGCAGCCCAUCACCGUACACCCCAGUGUGGGUAUGCGGCUCCA